This 489-nucleotide ribosomal RNA is filed under the name uncultured bacterium. RNAcentral's name for it is "partial 16S ribosomal RNA". It matches the Rfam family "Bacterial small subunit ribosomal RNA", at positions 28 to 507 of the family's 1533-position model. The record is from RNAcentral.
GAUGAACGCUAGCGAUAGGCUUAACACAUGCAAGUCGAGGGGCAGCAUGGUCUUAGCUUGCUAAGGCUGAUGGCGACCGGCGCACGGGUGCGUAACGCGUAUGCAACUUGCCUCACAGAGGGGGAUAACCCGUCGAAAGACGGACUAAUACCGCGUACACUCUAUGUUGGGCAUCCAAUGUAGAGGAAAUGAAAUUCGCUGUGAGAUAGGCAUGCGUCCCAUUAGCUAGUUGGUGAGGUAACGGCUCACCAAGGCGACGAUGGGUAGGGGAACUGAGAGGUUGAACCCCCACACUGGUACUGAGACACGGACCAGACUCCUACGGGAGGCAGCAGUGAGGAAUAUUGGUCAAUGGGCGAGAGCCUGAACCAGCCAAGUCGCGUGAAGGAUGACUGUCUUAUGGAUUGUAAACUUCUUUUAUACGGGAAUAACAAGAGUCACGUGUGGCUCCCUGCAUGUACCGGAUGAAUAGCAUCGGCUAACUCCGUG